Molecule: ribosomal RNA, 200 nt
Filed under: uncultured bacterium
Lineage: Bacteria
Description: partial 16S ribosomal RNA
Rfam family: Bacterial small subunit ribosomal RNA
Source: RNAcentral
AGGUUUGAUCAUGGCUCAGAUUGAACGCUGGCGGCAUGCCUUACACAUGCAAGUCGAACGGCAGCACGGACUUCGGUCUGGUGGCGAGUGGCGAACGGGUGAGUAAUACAUCGGAACGUGUCCUGUAGUGGUGGAUAGCCCGGCGAAAGCCGGAUUAAUACCGCAUACGCUCUACGGAGGAAAGGGGGGGAUCUUCGGAC